UGGGGAAUAUUGCACAAUGGAGGGAACUCUGAUGCAGCGACGCCGCGUGAACGAAGAAGGCUUUCGAGUCGUAAAGUUCUUUUAUAUGGGAAGAUAAUGACGGUACCAUAAGAAAAAGCCCCGGCUAACUACGUGCCAGCAGCCGCGGUAAUAAGUAGGGGGCUAGCGUUGUCCGGACUCACUGGGCGUAAAGGGUUCGCAGGCGGAAAUGCAAGUCAGGUGUAAAAGGCAGUAGCUUAACUACUGUAAGCAUUUGAAACUGCAUAUCUUGAGAAGAGUAGAGGUAAGUGGAAUUUUUAGGGUAGCUGUGAAAUGCGUAGAUAUUAAAAAGAAUACCGGGGGCGAAGGCGACUUACUGGGCUCAUUCUGACGCUGAGGAACGAAAGCGUGGGUAGCAAACAGG
This 403-nucleotide ribosomal RNA is filed under the name Fusobacteriota bacterium. Its description in RNAcentral is "Fusobacteria bacterium partial 16S ribosomal RNA". It matches the Rfam family "Bacterial small subunit ribosomal RNA", at positions 355 to 776 of the family's 1533-position model. Lineage: Bacteria; Fusobacteriati; Fusobacteriota. The record is from RNAcentral.